Molecule: ribosomal RNA, 253 nt
Filed under: uncultured bacterium
Lineage: Bacteria
Description: partial 16S ribosomal RNA
Rfam family: Bacterial small subunit ribosomal RNA
Source: RNAcentral
UACGUAGGCAGCAAGCGUUGUUCGGAAUUACUGGGCGUAAAGCGCGCGUAGGCGGUUUGUUAAGUGGGAUGUGAAAUCCCCGGGCUUAACCUGGGAAUUGCAUUUCAAACUGGCCGACUAGAGUACGGUAGAGGGAGGUAGAAUUUCCUGUGUAGCGGUGAAAUGCGUAGAUAUAGGAAGGAAUACCAGUGGCGAAGGCGGCCUCCUGGAUCGAUACUGACGCUGAGGCGCGAAAGCGUGGGGAGCAAACAGG